AUAAGACAGAAUGUUAUGCACAUCCUACUGAGGCAAAGCAGAGUGGUUGCUGAUCUCUUCGAGAAGUAGUUACAAACGCUGGACACUUUCAAAGGAAAGAGAAAAAGAUAAGUAUACUGACAUGUUUCUGUCAUAUUACAUUCGAAGUCAAUAUGUGCCAAACUGUUCAAUUUCGUUAGUUUUGAACCAAAAAUUCUGAUGUUUUUCCUAGAUGGUACAGUUUUCAUAACAGCAGACACUGCUAUUCCACAUACAUUUCAGCUUUCCUUUGAAGAUUAUGUGAGGAGGAAAGAAUGGAGCACUUGGUAGAAGACCAGCGAGCAAGGUGGAAAGAACACUGAGUUUGGGGUUAAAGGACAGGCCUAUCUUUGAGCUCCAGCUCUGUCACAUCUAACAGGGGACUCGCUAGAAUGAAAGCAGACAGUGGGAUUGAAGCCAUUCACAGCUGAAAAUUUUUUAAAAAUGAUAAAAGACGCAUUUCGGAACACCAAGUCUGUGAUUCAUGUCUGUUGCUUCUUUUAAGACAUAACCCACAAUUCACCUUUGAAAGAAAUCUUUCCUUCAAUCUCC
Molecule: long non-coding RNA, 570 nt
Organism: Myotis brandtii (Brandt's bat)
Lineage: Eukaryota; Metazoa; Chordata; Mammalia; Chiroptera; Vespertilionidae
Exons: 3
Source: RefSeq, a predicted model, not a curated record